Long non-coding RNA from Sapajus apella (tufted capuchin), 262 nucleotides. RefSeq lists it as uncharacterized. Lineage: Eukaryota; Metazoa; Chordata; Mammalia; Primates; Cebidae. The record is from RefSeq and is a predicted model, not a curated record. The transcript has 2 exons.
UUUUGAUACAGGCUCUCACUCUGUGGCCCAGGCUGGAAUGCAGUGGCACAAUCUCAACUCACUGCAAACUCCUUGCAGGCCCAGGUGAUUCUUUCAUCUCAACCUCCUGAGUAGCUGAGACUACAGUGAGGACACAAAGAGAAGAUGGCCAUUCUUAAACCAGGAAGGGGUUCCCAUCAGACAUCAAAGCUGCUGAUGCCUACAUCUUGGACUUCCCAGAUGCCAGAACUGUGAAAAAUAAAAUUCUGUUUUUUAAACCGUC